This 76-nucleotide transfer RNA is filed under the name Bdellovibrionales bacterium. Its description in RNAcentral is "tRNA-Ala". It matches the Rfam family "tRNA". Rfam says of the family: Transfer RNA (tRNA) molecules are approximately 80 nucleotides in length. The record is from RNAcentral. Lineage: Bacteria; Pseudomonadati; Bdellovibrionota; Bdellovibrionia; Bdellovibrionales.
GGGGCUGUAGCUCAGCUGGGAGAGCGCAGCGCUGGCAGCGCUGAGGUCAGGGGUUCGAUCCCCCUCAGCUCCACCA